This 312-nucleotide long non-coding RNA is filed under the name Populus trichocarpa (black cottonwood). Its description in RNAcentral is "long non-coding RNA (PTRI_LNC000569)". The record is from RNAcentral. Lineage: Eukaryota; Viridiplantae; Streptophyta; Magnoliopsida; Malpighiales; Salicaceae.
GUUCCAAACUAGUCUCGACUCUGCAAGCCAUCAUACUCACAGAAUUUUAGCUAUUUUGGAGGCACUUUUUUCUCUGAAACCAUCUUCUAUUGGAACAUCUUGGAGUUAUAGUUCAACUGAGAUAGUAGCUGCAGCUAUGGUUGCUGCUCAUGUUUCUGAACUAUUUAGACGUUCAAAGGCUUGCAUGCAUGCGCUCUCUGUUCUGAUGCGAUGCAAGUGGGAUAAUGAAAUUUACACUAGGGCAUCCUCACUAUAUAACCUCAUUGAUAUUCACAGUAAGGCUGUUGCAUCCAUAGUUAACAAGGCUGAGCC